Oncorhynchus tshawytscha (Chinook salmon) is the source of this 468-nucleotide long non-coding RNA. The record is from Ensembl. Lineage: Eukaryota; Metazoa; Chordata; Actinopteri; Salmoniformes; Salmonidae.
UAGAGGGAUGGAGGUGAAGGUAAAGGGAUGGAGGUGAAGGGAUAAAGGUAGAGGGAUGGAGGUGAAGGUAGAGGGAUGGAGGUGAAGGUAGAGGGAUGGAGGUGAAGGUGGAGGGAUGGAGGUGAAGGUAGAGGGAUGGAGGUGAAGGGAUGAAGGUAGAGGGAUGGAGGUGAAGGUAGAGGGAUGGAGGUGAAGGGAUGAAGGUGAAGAUGGAGGAAUGAAAGUGAAGGGAUGGAGGUGAAGGUAGAGGGAUGGAGGUGAAGGGAUGAAGGUAGAGGGAUGGAGGUGAAUGGAUGAGGGUAGAGGGAUGGAGGUGAAGGUGGAGGAAUGGAGGUGAAGGUGGAGCAAUGGAGGUGAAGGUGGAGGGAUGGAGGUGAAGGUAGAGGGAUGGAGGUGAAGGUAGAGGGAUGGAGGUGAAGGGAUGAAGGUAGAGGGAUGGAGGUGAAUGGAUGAGGGUAGAGGGAUGGA